Molecule: ribosomal RNA, 524 nt
Filed under: uncultured fungus
Lineage: Eukaryota; Fungi
Description: eukaryotic LSU rRNA
Rfam family: 5.8S ribosomal RNA (bases 161-314)
Source: RNAcentral
AUAUGAAGGCGGGCUGGAACCUCUCGGGGUUACAGCCUUGCUGAAUUAUUCACCCUUGUCUUUUGCGUACUUCUUGUUUCCUUGGUGGGUUCGCCCACCACUAGGACAAACAUAAACCUUUUGUAAUUGCAAUCAGCGUCAGUAACAAAUUAAUAAUUACAACUUUCAACAACGGAUCUCUUGGUUCUGGCAUCGAUGAAGAACGCAGCGAAAUGCGAUAAGUAGUGUGAAUUGCAGAAUUCAGUGAAUCAUCGAAUCUUUGAACGCACAUUGCGCCCUUUGGUAUUCCAAAGGGCAUGCCUGUUCGAGCGUCAUUUGUACCCUCAAGCUUUGCUUGGUGUUGGGCGUCUUGUCUCUAGCUUUGCUGGAGACUCGCCUUAAAGUAAUUGGCAGCCGGCCUACUGGUUUCGGAGCGCAGCACAAGUCGCACUCUCUAUCAGCAAAGGUCUAGCAUCCAUUAAGCCUUUUUUUCAACUUUUGACCUCGGAUCAGGUAGGGAUACCCGCUGAACUUAAGCAUAUCAA